This 70-nucleotide transfer RNA is filed under the name Felis catus (domestic cat). It matches the Rfam family "tRNA", at positions 8 to 63 of the family's 71-position model. From Rfam's summary of the family: Transfer RNA (tRNA) molecules are approximately 80 nucleotides in length. Their secondary structure includes four short double-helical elements and three loops (D, anti-codon, and T loops). The record is from Rfam by way of RNAcentral. Lineage: Eukaryota; Metazoa; Chordata; Mammalia; Carnivora; Felidae.
UGGCUCAGUUGGUUGAGCGUCUGACUUCAGCUCAGGUCAUGAUAUCACGGUUUGUGGGUUCGAGCCCCGC